RNAcentral lists this ribosomal RNA (2267 nucleotides) under Escherichia coli 3-475-03_S3_C2. RNAcentral's name for it is "bacterial LSU rRNA". It matches the Rfam family "Bacterial large subunit ribosomal RNA", at positions 680 to 2925 of the family's 2925-position model. Lineage: Bacteria; Pseudomonadati; Pseudomonadota; Gammaproteobacteria; Enterobacterales; Enterobacteriaceae. The record is from RNAcentral.
AGUCUUAACUGGGCGUUAAGUUGCAGGGUAUAGACCCGAAACCCGGUGAUCUAGCCAUGGGCAGGUUGAAGGUUGGGUAACACUAACUGGAGGACCGAACCGACUAAUGUUGAAAAAUUAGCGGAUGACUUGUGGCUGGGGGUGAAAGGCCAAUCAAACCGGGAGAUAGCUGGUUCUCCCCGAAAGCUAUUUAGGUAGCGCCUCGUGAAUUCAUCUCCGGGGGUAGAGCACUGUUUCGGCAAGGGGGUCAUCCCGACUUACCAACCCGAUGCAAACUGCGAAUACCGGAGAAUGUUAUCACGGGAGACACACGGCGGGUGCUAACGUCCGUCGUGAAGAGGGAAACAACCCAGACCGCCAGCUAAGGUCCCAAAGUCAUGGUUAAGUGGGAAACGAUGUGGGAAGGCCCAGACAGCCAGGAUGUUGGCUUAGAAGCAGCCAUCAUUUAAAGAAAGCGUAAUAGCUCACUGGUCGAGUCGGCCUGCGCGGAAGAUGUAACGGGGCUAAACCAUGCACCGAAGCUGCGGCAGCGACGCUGAUGCGUUGUUGGGUAGGGGAGCGUUCUGUAAGCCUGUGAAGGUGUGCUGUGAGGCAUGCUGGAGGUAUCAGAAGUGCGAAUGCUGACAUAAGUAACGAUAAAGCGGGUGAAAAGCCCGCUCGCCGGAAGACCAAGGGUUCCUGUCCAACGUUAAUCGGGGCAGGGUGAGUCGACCCCUAAGGCGAGGCCGAAAGGCGUAGUCGAUGGGAAACAGGUUAAUAUUCCUGUACUUGGUGUUACUGCGAAGGGGGGACGGAGAAGGCUAUGUUGGCCGGGCGACGGUUGUCCCGGUUUAAGCGUGUAGGCUGGUUUUCCAGGCAAAUCCGGAAAACUAAGGCUGAGGCGUGAUGACGAGGCACUACGGUGCUGAAGCAACAAAUGCCCUGCUUCCAGGAAAAGCCUCUAAGCAUCAGGUAACAUCAAAUCGUACCCCAAACCGACACAGGUGGUCAGGUAGAGAAUACCAAGGCGCUUGAGAGAACUCGGGUGAAGGAACUAGGCAAAAUGGUGCCGUAACUUCGGGAGAAGGCACGCUGAUAUGUAGGUGAAGUCCCUCGCGGAUGGAGCUGAAAUCAGUCGAAGAUACCAGCUGGCUGCAACUGUUUAUUAAAAACACAGCACUGUGCAAACACGAAAGUGGACGUAUACGGUGUGACGCCUGCCCGGUGCCGGAAGGUUAAUUGAUGGGGUCAGCGCAAGCGAAGCUCUUGAUCGAAGCCCCGGUAAACGGCGGCCGUAACUAUAACGGUCCUAAGGUAGCGAAAUUCCUUGUCGGGUAAGUUCCGACCUGCACGAAUGGCGUAAUGAUGGCCAGGCUGUCUCCACCCGAGACUCAGUGAAAUUGAACUCGCUGUGAAGAUGCAGUGUACCCGCGGCAAGACGGAAAGACCCCGUGAACCUUUACUAUAGCUUGACACUGAACAUUGAGCCUUGAUGUGUAGGAUAGGUGGGAGGCUUUGAAGUGUGGACGCCAGUCUGCAUGGAGCCGACCUUGAAAUACCACCCUUUAAUGUUUGAUGUUCUAACGUUGACCCGUAAUCCGGGUUGCGGACAGUGUCUGGUGGGUAGUUUGACUGGGGCGGUCUCCUCCUAAAGAGUAACGGAGGAGCACGAAGGUUGGCUAAUCCUGGUCGGACAUCAGGAGGUUAGUGCAAUGGCAUAAGCCAGCUUGACUGCGAGCGUGACGGCGCGAGCAGGUGCGAAAGCAGGUCAUAGUGAUCCGGUGGUUCUGAAUGGAAGGGCCAUCGCUCAACGGAUAAAAGGUACUCCGGGGAUAACAGGCUGAUACCGCCCAGGAGUUCAUAUCGACGGCGGUGUUUGGCACCUCGAUGUCGGCUCAUCACAUCCUGGGGCUGAAGUAGGUCCCAAGGGUAUGGCUGUUCGCCAUUUAAAGUGGUACGCGAGCUGGGUUUAGAACGUCGUGAGACAGUUCGGUCCCUAUCUGCCGUGGGCGCUGGAGAACUGAGGGGGGCUGCUCCUAGUACGAGAGGACCGGAGUGGACGCAUCACUGGUGUUCGGGUUGUCAUGCCAAUGGCACUGCCCGGUAGCUAAAUGCGGAAGAGAUAAGUGCUGAAAGCAUCUAAGCACGAAACUUGCCCCGAGAUGAGUUCUCCCUGACUCCUUGAGAGUCCUGAAGGAACGUUGAAGACGACGACGUUGAUAGGCCGGGUGUGUAAGCGCAGCGAUGCGUUGAGCUAACCGGUACUAAUGAACCGUGAGGCUUAACCU